This 681-nucleotide small nucleolar RNA is filed under the name Trichophyton rubrum BMU01672. Its description in RNAcentral is "CD-box snoRNA". Lineage: Eukaryota; Fungi; Ascomycota; Eurotiomycetes; Onygenales; Arthrodermataceae. The record is from RNAcentral.
AACAACCUCGGUACUAUUGCUCGCUCUGGUACCAAGCAGUUCAUGGAGGCUCUCACUGCCGGUGCUGAUAUCUCCAUGAUUGGACAGUUCGGUGUCGGUUUCUACUCUGCUUACCUUGUUGCUGACAAGGUUACCGUUGUCUCCAAGCACAAUGAUGAUGAGCAGUACAUCUGGGAGUCCUCUGCCGGUGGUACCUUCACCUUGACCCAGGACACUGAGGGUGAGCCCCUCGGCCGUGGUUCCAAGAUUAUCCUCCACCUCAAGGAUGAGCAGACCGAUUAUCUCACUGAGAGCAAGAUCAAGGAGGUUGUCAAGAAGCACUCUGAGUUCAUCUCUUACCCCAUCUACCUCCACGUCUUGAAGGAGACUGAGAAGGAGGUCCCAGAUGAGGACGCCGAGGAGGUCACCGAAGUUGAGGAGGGUGAUGAGAAGAAGCCAAAAGUCGAGGAAGUUGAUGACGAGGAGGAAGAUAAGGAAAAGAAGAAGACCAAGACUGUCAAGGAGUCCUCAAUUGAGGAAGAAGAGCUUAACAAGACUAAGCCCAUCUGGACUCGCAACCCUGCUGACAUUACCCAGGAGGAGUAUGCCUCCUUCUACAAGACCCUGUCCAACGACUGGGAGGACCACCUCGCAGUCAAGCAUUUCUCUGUCGAGGGUCAGCUCGAGUUCCGUGCUGUGCUC